GCCGGGCGUGGUGGCUCACGCCUGUAAUCCCAACACUUUGGGAGGCCAAGGUGGGUGGAUCACCUGAGGUCAGGAGUUCAAGACCAGCCUGGCCAACAUGGUGAAACCCCAUCUCUA
Molecule: non-coding RNA, 117 nt
Filed under: Pan troglodytes (chimpanzee)
Lineage: Eukaryota; Metazoa; Chordata; Mammalia; Primates; Hominidae
Source: Rfam by way of RNAcentral